AUGAACAUACAAAUACCAACACCAGCAGUAGCAGUGACUGGGGUCUCCGUUCAGCCUGCUGUAUCAUUUGUUCAGCCCGCUGUAAGGGUUGUUCAGCCCACUGUAUCAUUGGUUCAGCCCGCUGUAAGGGUUGUUCAGCCAACUGUAUCAUUGGUUCAGCCCGCUGUAAGGGUUGUUCAGCCCACUGUAUCAUUGGUUCGGCCCGCUGUAACGGUUGUUCAGCCCACUGUACCGUUGGUUCAGCCCACUGUGGUCAUGAGUCCAAUGUCAGUGCUACAUAAGUCUUCAUUCUGACUCGAGAUGCUAACUUGACUGGACAGCGAGAGUUAGCGAUGGGCCACUCCAGAGUGGCAUUUAUCCUGAACAAUGUGGCUCUCGGUAUCGGCCUCGCAAUCAUAACAGUGGUCAUUAUCCUUUCCAUUAAAUUAGGUCAUUGAACAACAUCGUUGAACAGAUGUUUUAUUCUGCUUCAAAUGCAUCUACUCAUACUGUCAAUGAUACUGUCAACUCAAAUCAAUGAUUUUUGGAAGAAAUAACAUGUAUUUUCCAGACCCUCUGAAGGGAAUGAUCUAAUGUAUGCUUAUGUUUUAUUUCUUUUUUUUUUAAUGCUGGCAGACUGAUCUGUUUGAUUAGCAGAAAUUAAAUGCUUUACUGCUUUUAACUUAAAGCUGAUUUAAAAUGUUAAUUAAUAAAUAUAUAUAUAUAUAUAUAUAUAUAUAAAUU
This is a long non-coding RNA of Cyprinus carpio (common carp), 723 nucleotides long. Lineage: Eukaryota; Metazoa; Chordata; Actinopteri; Cypriniformes; Cyprinidae. The record is from Ensembl.